UAAACUGUUUAUGGUAACAUUUUAAUUCUCUUCCUUUUCCGAAGGGCGUACAAUACUAAACAGUUAAGUCGAUGGCUUUGGUUUCUAUGGGCUGGCUGAGCUUAGAUAUCCCAUGUGAUGUCAUAGUUAUUCCCUGUCUCUCAUGGAGUAGUGAACACUCUGUUACUCCCUGACAAUGUCAGUGAGUGAACUCAGCUGUUAGCAGCACAUUGUCAAGCAUCCAACUCACUCAUUUUUCUACACUCCUCGGUUCCAUUGAAAGCAUGGGAAAUGGCAGACAAAAUAGUAUCAUAUAUAUCUCAAGUCAAGAAGAGCAGGCUACUACUUGAAACUGGUUACAACAGAGGUGGUUGAUACAACUGAAACCCUUGUUGAUAAGGGUGGUUGAUAUGAUUAAAACUGUGAUACAGUAGUUGACAAUAGGCAAUUAUAGAACCAUCUAGCUUUGAGUCUGGUAAUUAAAGUCAGGUCUGUAUCUGCCCUCCACAGGUUCAGCAUCUAGUCCUUGCUCUGUGUAACCUAUCGGAUCACAGAGUUGUGUAUGCAACCGACUGGGCGAGUGAGUGAGGAAGAGAGCGCAGACUGAGAGAAAAUCCAACUUAAUUAGCCCAAGCUUAUUAAGAAUUAUAAUAAGCAACUGGUUUGGAGGAGCAGUGCUGUCCACAUCUGGCUCUGAUGAAGGGGCAGGCUACUGGUUUGGCCUCGAUCUCCAACCCCCAUCCACUUUAGGAAACAAUAGAAGCAUUCUGAGUUCUCCCUCUGGAGCCACACACAUACGUGCCGAUGUCGAUGCCACGCCGUCUCCUACAUGAAGGGGGGUCGGGAGGGUACAUCAAAUAACACCACACGCUCAGCUGAAAUCUAACAGCACGUUUAGCCUCCCAAAUAAGACCCACAGAGUACAAAACCGGUCUGACAACCCCUGUUGACUACUAGUUAUGGAGGCCUAUCUUCUCUUUUGCUGUCCUCCUGACUCCAACCUCUCUCCCAAAACAGCCCCAUAUAAAAAACCCAACUGCUUUUUUUAAUUUUCUUCUCUCUCUCUUAGUGUCAGUGAUCCCUAUGCUCAAAACAGGAAAAGGGCAACCUUCGUACAUAAACAGAGCUGUUAAAAUCCCGCAGGGAACCAACCCAGCCUAACUGUCCUUGUGGAAAUACUGACCUGAUUUAAACCUUUUUUUAAUCCCUAUUCUCAUUCCAUGACCUCUCAUAGUUGCUAUAAAUGCAACCGAAUCCCAUUUCCACGUGUCCAUUUGCUGGUCUGGUGCUUUAUAAGUAGCUGUUGACAAGUGUGAAGGCGUAUAUUUUGGUGGAGAACGAUGUCUGUUGUUGGACUGAAUCCCAUAUUUACUGUUUGGAUAAAUGUAGAGGCACAGGAAGAGCUCAGUCCUCUGCACAGCUGUACACA
Molecule: long non-coding RNA, 1408 nt
Organism: Esox lucius (northern pike)
Lineage: Eukaryota; Metazoa; Chordata; Actinopteri; Esociformes; Esocidae
Source: Ensembl